Molecule: ribosomal RNA, 1077 nt
Filed under: Salmonella enterica subsp. enterica serovar Typhimurium
Lineage: Bacteria; Pseudomonadati; Pseudomonadota; Gammaproteobacteria; Enterobacterales; Enterobacteriaceae
Description: partial 23S ribosomal RNA
Rfam family: Bacterial large subunit ribosomal RNA
Source: RNAcentral
AGCGACUUAUAUUCUGUAGCAAGGUUAACCGUAUAGGGGAGCCGUAGGGAAACCGAGUCUUAACCGGGCGUUAAGUUGCAGGGUAUAGACCCGAAACCCGGUGAUCUAGCCAUGGGCAGGUUGAAGGUUGGGUAACACUAACUGGAGGACCGAACCGACUAAUGUUGAAAAAUUAGCGGAUGACCUGUGGCUGGGGGUGAAAGGCCAAUCAAACCGGGAGAUAGCUGGUUCUCCCCGAAAGCUAUUUAGGUAGCGCCUCGUGAAUUCAUCUCCGGGGGUAGAGCACUGUUUCGGCUAGGGGGCCAUCCCGGCUUACCAACCCGAUGCAAACUGCGAAUACCGGAGAAUGUUAUCACGGGAGACACACGGCGGGUGCUAACGUCCGUCGUGAAGAGGGAAACAACCCAGACCGCCAGCUAAGGUCCCAAAGUCAUGGUUAAGUGGGAAACGAUGUGGGAAGGCCCAGACAGCCAGGAUGUUGGCUUAGAAGCAGCCAUCAUUUAAAGAAAGCGUAAUAGCUCACUGGUCGAGUCGGCCUGCGCGGAAGAUGUAACGGGGCUAAACCAUGCACCGAAGCUGCGGCAGCGAACGUAUCACCCAAGACAACUUUACGGAGUUGACGAUUGACGGAGCGAAGCGACGUCAAAGCGUUCAUUAAAGUCGAGUUGGCUUAGGGAUACGUUCGUUGGGUAGGGGAGCGUUCUGUAAGCCUGUGAAGGUGUGUCGUGAGGCAUGCUGGAGGUAUCAGAAGUGCGAAUGCUGACAUAAGUAACGAUAAAGCGGGUGAAAAGCCCGCUCGCCGGAAGACCAAGGGUUCCUGUCCAACGUUAAUCGGGGCAGGGUGAGUCGACCCCUAAGGCGAGGCCGAAAGGCGUAGUCGAUGGGAAACGGGUUAAUAUUCCCGUACUUGGUGUUACUGCGAAGGGGGGACGGAGAAGGCUAUGUUGGCCGGGCGACGGUUGUCCCGGUUUAAGCGUGUAGGUGUGUGUUCCAGGUAAAUCCGGUUCACUUUAACACUGAGGCGUGACGACGAGGCACUACGGUGCUGAAGCAACAAAUGCCCUGCUUCCAGGAAAA